This 319-nucleotide ribosomal RNA is filed under the name uncultured Pseudomonadota bacterium. RNAcentral describes it as "bacterial SSU rRNA". It matches the Rfam family "Bacterial small subunit ribosomal RNA", at positions 30 to 351 of the family's 1533-position model. Lineage: Bacteria; Pseudomonadati; Pseudomonadota. The record is from RNAcentral.
AUUGAACGCUGGCGGCAUGCCUUACACAUGCAAGUCGAACGGAUUUUGGAGCUUGCUCCAAAGUUAGUGGCGAACGGGUGAGUAAUAUAUCGGAACGUACCCUGGAGUGGGGGAUAACUAGUCGAAAGACUAGCUAAUACCGCAUACGAUCUAAGGAUGAAAGUGGGGGACCGCAAGGCCUCACGCUCCUGGAGCGGCCGAUAUCUGAUUAGCUAGUUGGCGGGGUAAAAGCCCACCAAGGCGACGAUCAGUAGCUGGUCUGAGAGGACGAUCAGCCACACUGGGACUGAGACACGGCCCAGACUCCUACGGGAGGCAG